RNAcentral lists this ribosomal RNA (440 nucleotides) under uncultured bacterium. RNAcentral's name for it is "partial 16S ribosomal RNA". It matches the Rfam family "Bacterial small subunit ribosomal RNA", at positions 338 to 795 of the family's 1533-position model. The record is from RNAcentral.
CCUACGGGUGGCAGCAGUGGGGAAUAUUGCACAAUGGGGGAAACCCUGAUGCAGCGACGCCGCGUGAGUGAAGAAGUAAUUCGUUAUGUAAAGCUCUAUCAGCAGGGAAGAAAAUGACGGUACCUGAGUAAGAAGCCCCGGCUAACUACGUGCCAGCAGCCGCGGUAAUACGUAGGGGGCAAGCGUUAUCCGGAUUUCCUGGGUGGAAAGGGAGCGUAGACGGCAGUGCAAGUCUGGAGUGAAAGGCGGGGGCUAAACCCCCGGACUGCUCUGGAAACUGUACGGCGGGAGUGCAGGAGAGGUAAGUGGAAUUCCUAGUGUAGCGGUGAAAUGCGUAGAUAUUAGGAGGAACACCAGUGGCGAAGGCGGCUUACUGGACUGUAACUGACGUUGAGGCUCGAAAGCGUGGGGAGCAAACAGGAUUAGAUACCCCGGUAGUC